This is a long non-coding RNA of Solanum pennellii, 1562 nucleotides long. RefSeq lists it as uncharacterized. The record is from RefSeq and is a predicted model, not a curated record. Lineage: Eukaryota; Viridiplantae; Streptophyta; Magnoliopsida; Solanales; Solanaceae. The transcript has 3 exons.
UUAUUACAACUUAGGAUGAAGAUUUUGCCUUGGACAAUGGAGAGGGAUUCUUCUCUCUUCUCAUCUUUUCUUUCUUGUUUGAUGAUGAGGCAGAGGUGUUAAAAAAAAGGCUAUGAUGUUUGCAUUUUGUGGGUUUUGAUUUUGACAUUUGUUUGUUUCCAAUAAUCGCUUAUUUAAAUUUUAUAGUUAUCAAAAAGGUUUUAUUUUUAUUCAAAUGAGAUAAAUACGAAGGGUUUUGAGAAAGUCUUGAAAAGUAUAGAAAGUGAUUUGACAAUCAUGAAUCUUCACGAAUAAAAUUGAGCGAUAGAAUAUAACACAUAAAAUUAGUUGAAAUUGCGCAAGCUAGUCCAAUAGAAUUGUUGGUUUGUGAUGCGGCUUCAAAUGCACUGUUGUUCCUUUGGAAGCAAUCUUCAUCUUUCUUUUUUUUUCUGGCUGGGUUAUGGGAAGAGGUUUUAUAAUAGAUGUGAGAGAGCAAGUGUACACCUAUUGGGUUGCGUAUAAUAUUUUUUCAGAUGAAAUCACAGCAAGACGGUGAUUUAAGUGUAAAGACAAACUCCAAUACUGAAUUAAGGCAUAAAGUAGAUGCAUAAUAGUUACAAAAGUACAGUAGCAAAAGCAUCAACUCUCCUUCACAUUGCUAGUUAAGAGUCGGGGAGCUGGCAAAGUUCAGAAAGGAGCCGGAAAUCGAGAGGGAUAAAUAAACCAACUAUACAAAAACAUGAGGCAAGUAGCUUUUACAUUAAAAGCAUCUUCUAUUACUAUCAUUCCAGAUACUCCAAAAAAUGGCUGCAGGUAUCAUUUCCAAAUUCCCUUGAUGCUGCUACCAACUUUCAAAGCAACUACAGCUUAUCGGUAAAUCUUAUCAUGUUUUCAUGACACAGAAAAUAUGAAACACUGACUAAAUGAACUUUGGAUGAAGGUGGACUUCUAUAUAUUGCCCAAAUAAUCUCACUGCUAGAAAUUCUCCACUCCAGAGUUAUAACUUAGUAAUCCUAAUUACAGCUAAUACUUAAACUUCAGAGUUUUACUGUUAUAAACUCAAUAUAUUUGCAGCUUCUUGGUGCUUUUGUAUAUAAAGUAUAUCCUUAGGAUGAAAAAGAUGUUUUAAACUCAACAUCAUCAAUCAGCCACAACUGUCUAUAAGAGCCUUAAUAUGUCGAUGAAGCAGAAGGAUUGGAGUAGAUUAACAGCAAGCAUAAACUUGUCUAAUUAUGAUGAAUCCUAAAUACUGAAUCUUGUAGAGAUGAAGCAGAUAAGGGAAUCAAACCAACCUUAUUCGAGAUUAGCCUAGUUCAUGAUUGAUUGAUUGCUGGUUUAACAUACCUCAAUGAGAGGCAAAAAACAGGUCAAAAACUACAUUGUAAGCAAGAAGACAACAAAAAAAGAAACAUGUAACUGUUUCUUCAACAAAGAUCAAAGGGAAAAAAGGGAGCUCCAACUGUUGUAUGGGUUAGAAAGUACAGUUCUGGGAAAGAGAUGUUCAUACAUGAUUGUUGACUAAAUUUCUUCAGUGAUUUUUCAUUGAAAAUUUUCUCACCUAUGGAAAAAAAAAAAGCGGACAG